ACGGAAGGCAGCAGUGGGGAAUAUUGCGCAAUGGAGGAAACUCUGACGCAGCGACGCCGCGUGAGUGAUGAAGUAUUUCGGUAUGUAAAGCUCUUUAAGCAGGGAAGAUAAUGACGGUACCUGCAGAAUAAGCACCGGCUAAAUACGUGCCAGCAGCCGCGGUAAUACGUAUGGUGCAAGCGUUAUCCGGAUUUACUGGGUGUAAAGGGAGCGUAGGUGGUUUGGCAAGCCAGAAGUGAAAACCCGGGGCUCAACCCCGUGGAUUGCUUUUGGAACUGUUGAACUAGAGUGCAGGAGGGGUAAGUGGAAUUCCUAGUGUAGCGGUGAAAUGCGUAGAUAUUAGGAGGAACACCAGUGGCGAAGGCGGCUUACUGGACUGUAACUGACACUGAGGCUCGAAGGCGUGGGGAGCAAACAGGAUUAGAUACCCUGGUA
Molecule: ribosomal RNA, 435 nt
Filed under: uncultured Lachnospiraceae bacterium
Lineage: Bacteria; Bacillati; Bacillota; Clostridia; Lachnospirales; Lachnospiraceae
Description: partial 16S ribosomal RNA
Rfam family: Bacterial small subunit ribosomal RNA
Source: RNAcentral